UACGUAGGGGGCAAGCGUUGUCCGGAAUCAUUGGGCGUAAAGCGCGUGUAGGCGGCCCGGUAAGUCCGCUGUGAAAGUCCAGGGCUCAACCCUGGGAUGCCGGUGGAUACUGUCGGGCUCGAGUCCGGAAGAGGCGAGUGGAAUUCCUGGUGUAGCGGUGAAAUGCGUAGAUAUCAGGAGGAACACCUGCGGUGUAGACGGCUUACUGGACCAUAACUGACGCUGAGGCACGAAAGCGUGGGUAGCAAACAGG
This 253-nucleotide ribosomal RNA is filed under the name uncultured bacterium. RNAcentral's name for it is "partial 16S ribosomal RNA". It matches the Rfam family "Bacterial small subunit ribosomal RNA", at positions 524 to 776 of the family's 1533-position model. The record is from RNAcentral.